GACGAACGCUGGCGGCGUGCCUAAUACAUGCAAGUCGAACGCAGUGGGGACGGGUGAGUAACACGUGGGUAACCUCCCAUCAGAGGGGAUAACACUUGGAAACAGGUGCUAAACCGAUACUGAUGGAUGGACCCGCGGUGCAUUAGCUAGUUGGGGGGGUAACGGCUCACCAAGGCCACGAUGCAGAGCCGACCUGUGAGGGUGAUCGGCCACACUGGGACUGAGAGACAGCCCAGACGCCUACGGGAGGCAGCAGUAGGCAAUCUUCGGAGAUGGACGAAAGUCUGUCCAAGCAACGCCGCGUGAGUGAAGAAGGUUUUCGGAUCGUAAAACUCUGUUGUUAGAGAAGCGGUAUCUAACCAGAAAGCCACGGCUAACUACGUGCCAGCAGCCGCGGUAAUUC
Molecule: ribosomal RNA, 403 nt
Filed under: uncultured bacterium
Lineage: Bacteria
Description: partial 16S ribosomal RNA
Rfam family: Bacterial small subunit ribosomal RNA
Source: RNAcentral